Molecule: long non-coding RNA, 246 nt
Organism: Lagenorhynchus albirostris (white-beaked dolphin)
Lineage: Eukaryota; Metazoa; Chordata; Mammalia; Artiodactyla; Delphinidae
Exons: 3
Source: RefSeq, a predicted model, not a curated record
GGAUGAGCCAAGUGUAUUGUAGUUCAACAGAACAAACGAAAAGUGCUUCUCCAAGGUGUAAUUGUAUAGUGAACAACCAUGGAAGACUGCAACAACAUCUGCCUCUGGGGCAAUAAUCAGGCAUAUUUGCUGUCUACUAUUGGCUGCAUCCUACCACCCAGUACAGUGCCAAGGUCCACAGUAGGCAUGCAGCACAUAUUUUUGAGUGAAGUGUACAAAUGAAUGAAAGACUAUGGAAAACUUAAC